ACUAGGCAGACCUGGCACACCU
RNAcentral lists this microRNA (22 nucleotides) under Oreochromis niloticus (Nile tilapia). Its description in RNAcentral is "oni-miR-10728". The record is from miRBase by way of RNAcentral. Lineage: Eukaryota; Metazoa; Chordata; Actinopteri; Cichliformes; Cichlidae.